This 253-nucleotide ribosomal RNA is filed under the name uncultured bacterium. RNAcentral's name for it is "partial 16S ribosomal RNA". It matches the Rfam family "Bacterial small subunit ribosomal RNA", at positions 524 to 776 of the family's 1533-position model. The record is from RNAcentral.
GACAGAGGGUGCAAACGUUGUUCGGAAUUACUGGGCGUAAAGCGCGUGUAGGCUGCUCGGAAAGUCGGAUGUGAAAGCCCUGGGCUCAACCUAGGAAGUGCACUCGAAACUUCCGAGCUGGAGUGCUGGAGAGGAAGGCGGAAUUCUCGGUGUAGAGGUGAAAUUCGUAGAUAUCGAGAGGAACACCGGUGGCGAAGGCGGCCUUCUGGACAGUAACUGACGCUGAGACGCGAAAGCGUGGGGAGCAAACAGG